UAUGUUCUUAGUUUGCUCUAGUUCUAUAUUUGAUAUAGUUCUAAUUGAUAAUGAGUUUAUGUAUAAGUUUGCAAAGCGUUUAGCUCUUGACGCGAGGGAGUUAGGUGAUAGAUUACAUGUGAGCGUGGUGCUUAGAUGUUAUUUAUCUGCAAAUGUAUCCUAUUGGCCGAGUCGUGUGGUAGUUCGCGAUAGUGACAGCUUCGUUGAUUCUUAUAUAGUCCACCCUCCGUUGAUAGGACAGGCAGAACCGGUAUUGUGGAGUAAGUCAUGCGAUGUUCUGAUUUACUUUAUCAAUGUUCCUU
This 302-nucleotide long non-coding RNA is filed under the name Sorghum bicolor (sorghum). RNAcentral describes it as "long non-coding RNA (SBIC_LNC014565)". Lineage: Eukaryota; Viridiplantae; Streptophyta; Magnoliopsida; Poales; Poaceae. The record is from RNAcentral.